CCUACGGGAGGCAGCAGUGAGGAAUAUUGGUCAAUGGACGAGAGUCUGAACCAGCCAAGUAGCGUGAAGGAUGACUGCCCUAUGGGUUGUAAACUUCUUUUAUAUGGGAAUAAAACGUUCCACGUGUGGGAUUUUGUAUGUACCAUAUGAAUAAGGAUCGGCUAACUCCGUGCCAGCAGCCGCGGUAAUACGGAGGAUCCGAGCGUUAUCCGGAUUUAUUGGGUUUAAAGGGAGCGUAGGUGGAUUGUUAAGUCAGUUGUGAAAGUUUGCGGCUCAACCGUAAAAUUGCAGUUGAAACUGGCAGUCUUGAGUACAGUAGAGGUGGGCGGAAUUCGUGGUGUAGCGGUGAAAUGCUUAGAUAUCACGAAGAACUCCGAGUGCGAAGGCAGUUCACUGGACUGCAACUGACACUGAGGCUCGAAAGUGUGGGUAUCAAACAGGAUUAGAUACCCGAGUAGUC
This 460-nucleotide ribosomal RNA is filed under the name uncultured bacterium. RNAcentral's name for it is "partial 16S ribosomal RNA". It matches the Rfam family "Bacterial small subunit ribosomal RNA", at positions 338 to 795 of the family's 1533-position model. The record is from RNAcentral.